GAUGAACGCUAGCUACAGGCUUAACACAUGCAAGUCGAGGGGCAGCGGUAUCGAAAGCUUGCUUUCGGUAGCCGGCGACCGGCGCACGGGUGAGUAACGCGUAUCGAACCUGCCUCAUACUCGGGAAUAGCCUUGCGAAAGUAAGAUUAAUGCCCGGUGUUUUCAGAGUCCCGCAUGAGGCUUUGAACAAAGAUUUAUCGGUAUGAGAUGGCGAUGCGUCCCAUUAGCUUGUUGGCGGGGUAACGGCCCACCAAGGCAUCGAUGGGUAAGGGUUCUGAGAGGAAGGUCCCCCACAAUGGAACUGAGACACGGUCCAAACUCCUACGGGAGGCAGCAGUGAGGAAUAGUGGUCAAUGGGCGGAAGCCUGAACCAGCCAAGUAGCGUGCAAGAAGACGGCCCUCCGGGUUGUAAACUGCUUUUAGUUGGGAAUAAAACGGGGCUCGUGAGCCCCCUUGCAUGUACCAUCAGAAAAAGGACCGGCUAAUUCCGUG
Molecule: ribosomal RNA, 492 nt
Filed under: uncultured bacterium
Lineage: Bacteria
Description: partial 16S ribosomal RNA
Rfam family: Bacterial small subunit ribosomal RNA
Source: RNAcentral